RNAcentral lists this ribosomal RNA (520 nucleotides) under Arundinax aedon (thick-billed warbler). RNAcentral's name for it is "partial 16S ribosomal RNA". It matches the Rfam family "Bacterial large subunit ribosomal RNA", at positions 1849 to 2575 of the family's 2925-position model. Lineage: Eukaryota; Metazoa; Chordata; Aves; Passeriformes; Sylviidae. The record is from RNAcentral.
AAGGUGAUGCCUGCCCGGUGACAUGGCGUUUAACGGCCGCGGUAUCCUAACCGUGCAAAGGUAGCGCAAUCAAUUGUCCCAUAAAUCGGGACCAGUAUGAAUGGCUAAACGAGGUCUUAACUGUCUCUUACAGGCAAUCGGUGAAAUUGAUCUUCCUGUGCAAAAGCAGGGAUAUACACAUAAGACGAGAAGACCCUGUGGAACUUUAAAAUCAGCAACCACCCUGUCAUACACACACACCCAACACGGGCCCACUUACCCACAGGCCACUGGUUCGCAUUUUUUCGGUUGGGGCGACCUUGGAGCAAAACAAAACCUCCAAACAUUGGACCACACCUCCAAACUAAGAGCGACAUCUCAAAGUACUAAAAGUACCCAGAUCCAAUACAAUUGAUCAAUGGACCAAGCUACCCCAGGGAUAACAGCGCAAUCUCCUCCAAGAGUCCAUAUCGACGGGGAGGUUUACGACCUCGAUGUUGGAUCAGGACAUCCUAGUGGUGCAGCCGCUACUAAGGGUUCG